This 492-nucleotide ribosomal RNA is filed under the name uncultured bacterium. Its description in RNAcentral is "partial 16S ribosomal RNA". It matches the Rfam family "Bacterial small subunit ribosomal RNA", at positions 29 to 507 of the family's 1533-position model. The record is from RNAcentral.
AGUGAACGCUGGCGGUAGGCCUAACACAUGCAAGUCGAACGGCAGCACAGUAAGAGCUUGCUCUUACGGGUGGCGAGUGGCGGACGGGUGAGGAAUACAUCGGAAUCUACUUUUUCGGGGGGGAUAACGUAGGGAAACUUACGCUAAUACCGCAUACGACCUACGGGGGAAAGCAGGGGAUAGUCGGACCUUGCGCGAAUGAAUGAGCCGAUGUCGGAUUAGCUAGUUGGCGGGGGAAAGGCCCAGCAAGGCGACGAUCCGUAGCUGGUCUGAGAGGAUGAUAGGCCACACUGGAACUGAGCCACGGUCCAGACUCCUACGGGAGGCCGCAGUGGGGAAUAUUGGACAAUGGGCGCAAGCCUGAUCCAGCCAUACCGCGUGGGUGACGAAGGCCUUCGGGUUGUAAAGCCCUUUUGUUGGGAAAGAACAGCAGCAGGUUAAUACCCCGCUGUUCUGACGGUACCCAAAGAAUAAGCACCGGCUAACUUCGUG